AUGGAGGGGGCCAAAAGAGCGGCCGCCGUUGCCGCCCUGUGCAUGCUCAUCCUCCUCACGCUGGCAAAGCCAUCCCAUCAGCAGCUCUCCGACGCCGUCUGCGAGUGCUACCGGCAGUGCUACUCCGGGUGCAAGGACAUCACCUGGCCGCGGGUCUGCAAGGUCGAGUGCGCCGGCGGCUGUGGCGGUGCUAACGGCUACGACAAGGUUGGCUCCUGCAUGAUCGCCUGCAGCAUGGACCCCGUCUGCGGCCUGUCAACGGCCCCCCUCGAUCCAGCUGACGUUGUGGCUUGUAACAAUGAGUGCAAAAAGAGGUGGGGUGGCCAUGGACACGCCAACUAA
Molecule: ribosomal RNA, 342 nt
Filed under: Triticum aestivum (bread wheat)
Lineage: Eukaryota; Viridiplantae; Streptophyta; Magnoliopsida; Poales; Poaceae
Description: partial small subunit ribosomal RNA
Source: RNAcentral